RNAcentral lists this ribosomal RNA (588 nucleotides) under uncultured bacterium. Its description in RNAcentral is "bacterial SSU rRNA". It matches the Rfam family "Bacterial small subunit ribosomal RNA", at positions 916 to 1505 of the family's 1533-position model. The record is from RNAcentral.
GGGACCCGCACAAGCGGUGGAGCAUGUGGUUUAUUCGAUGCAACGCGAAGAACCUUACCUGGUCUUGACAUCCCAGGAAUCCUGCAGAGAUGCGGGAGUGCCUUCGGGAACCUGGAGACAGGUGCUGCAUGGCUGUCGUCGGCUCGUGUCGUGAGAUGUUGGGUUAAGUCCCGCAGCGAGCGCAACCCUUGCCCUUAGUUGCCAUCAUUAAGUUGGGAACUCUAAGGGGACCGCCGGUGACAAACCGGAGGAAGGUGGGGAUGACGUCAAGUCAUCAUGGCCCUUAUGACCAGGGCUACACACGUGCUACAAUGGUCGGUACAGAGGGUCGCCAACCCGCGAGGGGGAGCCAAUCCCUUAAAACCGAUCGUAGUCCGGAUCGCAGUCUGCAACUCGACUGCGUGAAGUCGGAAUCGCUAGUAAUCGCGAAUCAGCCAUGUCGCGGUGAAUACGUUCCCGGGUCUUGUACACACCGCCCGUCACACCAUGGAAGUUGAUUGCACCAGAAGUAGGUAGCCUAACCGCAAGGAGGGCGCUUACCACGGUGUGCUCAAUGACUGGGGUGAAGUCGUAACAAGGUAGCCGUAA